This 66-nucleotide transfer RNA is filed under the name Heteralonia sp. Its description in RNAcentral is "tRNA-Asn". Lineage: Eukaryota; Metazoa; Arthropoda; Insecta; Diptera; Bombyliidae. The record is from RNAcentral.
UUAAUUGAAGCCAAAUUUGAGGCAUAUCAUUGUUAAUGAUAUCAAUGAGAUAAAUCUCCAAUUAAA